AGAACUUAAUAUGCUAAAUCCCUCAUUUCAUUGAUAAAAAGUUGACCAAUCUGGAAUCGACAUUAAAUAACAGGAAAUAAAAUUCACUAGUGGCCAUUAGCCUCAUUACAUUUGCAAAGCAAAAAAAAAGUAAAUUCCUAUCUACUUGGUCCCAGAAGGACCUUCCUCAAGUUGAAUUCUCUUGUUGAUCAGAUUCUCUAGUUCGCGUAGGUUCACCAGUAAAAAUGCCUUCUCCAGGUGUUCUUCUUCGUUUCCCUCAGCGUUAUGGCAGUCGGCGACUCUCUUCCACACUUUUCCUUCCAAUUCCAGCUGACUGUAUUCAAGAUAUUCCAACUUUUCGCUAGCUUUGGCGGCCUUCUCUUUCCACUCAUUGAUUUGGUCAUUUGAUGGAAGACUCUUCCACCAGUCUAGCAACAGUGGGGACGUGCUAAUCAUACUGAAGCCGGGGACCUCGUACCUCAUUUUGUACAAAACAAAAGGGUUAUACCCUACCCCCACGGAACUCGACUAUUUUAUACCAACAAUUAGCAUGAAAGCAUUUAGUUCUCCAAAUGAAUGCAUUGAACGUGGCGACGUCCGUUUGGGUUCUAGGGAAACCUAGUGACUUUGGAAAAGGCUAUCUUAAAGAGUCAUUAUGCGGACAAUAUAACUGACUCGGCUAGGUUUGACCAUGAUGCAUGCACAAUAUCAAUCAGAGUAUGGUUUCUAUAGGGUUUUAGACUAGUACCCUUGGCAAACAACUCAAGACGGAAAGGUGUGGAACCAUCGACUACACAAUUGAUCGAAUGGGUUUACCGCAAAUAUGCCUUUACCAGAUUUAGGGGGUGAUAAUAUCGAAAGAGCGCAACCAGCCAUAAUAAACUUUGCUAUAUGAUUUUGUUUGGCACGAGUGGAAUAUGAUAUUGAGCAUGAUUAUGCAACAGUUAAAGGCAUGUAGUCAUAUAUUUGCACGUUAAGGAAGCAGUAAAUACAACAGUCUCAGAAUGUAAAGCAGUAGUAAUGAAAAGCAGUAAAGAAAAGAAAAAAGAUAGAAGUCAGUUUCGAAAUUGAAAAGCAAGUUGCAUACUUAAAUGAAAUAAACAAAUAAUUGCGUGUAAAGAAGCGUAAAUUCAUAAUAAAAGUCUAUCAUGGUAAAAGCCUAAAUAUCUCUAGCAGAGUCGCCAUGCUGUCGCGCCUCUUUUUUCUCGUGAAAUCGAGUUUAUGACAUUUGGGAGGAGAACUCGUUCCUUUUAGGAAUUGGGUUUGGUUUGAAGAGCCGCCACUUAAUGAUUAAGGUGCAUUGGGACACCAAUAGAGUUUUAACUCUAAAUUUUUUUGAAUAACUAGAGAUUGGGUAAGGCUUGAAUUAUCCCAAGGGGAAGGUGUUAGAUACCCCUUAGAAUCCACUAGUGUGGUUCCCGGCCAGACUAUUUUGUGAAUUUGAAUACAAUUAGCAUAUAGACAAAUAAGGCUCAAAUAAGAGGGGAUUUCAUCAUAUAAAGGUUUACAAACAAAUGAAGUU
This 1501-nucleotide long non-coding RNA is filed under the name Nicotiana benthamiana. RNAcentral describes it as "long non-coding RNA (NBEN_LNC041927)". The record is from RNAcentral. Lineage: Eukaryota; Viridiplantae; Streptophyta; Magnoliopsida; Solanales; Solanaceae.